AGCAGCCGCGGUAACUCCAGCUCCAAUAGCGUAUAUUAAAGUUGUUGCAGUUAAAAAGCUCGUAGUUGAAUUUCGGGGUCAGUAGGUUGGUCAUGCCUCCGGUAUGUACUGGUCUCACUGAUUCCUCCUUCCUGAUGAGCCGUAAUGCCAUUAAUUUGGUGUUGCGGGGAAUCUGGACUGUUACUUUGAAAAAAUUAGAGUGUUUAAAGCAAGCUAACGCUUGAAUACAUUAGCAUGGAAUAAUGGAAUAGGACGUUCGAUCCUAUUUUGUUGGUUUCUAGGAUUGACGUAAUGAUUAAUAGGGAUAGUUGGGGGCAUUAGUAUUCAAUUGUCAGAGGUGAAAUUCUUGGAUUUAUUGAAGACUAACUACUGCGAAAGCAUUUGCCAAGGAUGUUUUCAUUAAUCAAGAACGAAAGUUAGGGGAUCGAAGACGAUCAGAUACCGUCGUAGUCUUAACCAUAAACUAUGCCGACUAGGGAUCGGAUGAUGUUAAUUUUUUAAUGACUCAUUCGGCGCCUUACG
RNAcentral lists this ribosomal RNA (522 nucleotides) under uncultured Glomus. RNAcentral describes it as "SSU rRNA". It matches the Rfam family "Eukaryotic small subunit ribosomal RNA", at positions 569 to 1092 of the family's 1831-position model. The record is from RNAcentral. Lineage: Eukaryota; Fungi; Glomeromycota; Glomeromycetes; Glomerales; Glomeraceae.